RNAcentral lists this ribosomal RNA (889 nucleotides) under Clostridioides difficile. RNAcentral's name for it is "partial 23S ribosomal RNA". It matches the Rfam family "Bacterial large subunit ribosomal RNA", at positions 1792 to 2679 of the family's 2925-position model. Lineage: Bacteria; Bacillati; Bacillota; Clostridia; Peptostreptococcales; Peptostreptococcaceae. The record is from RNAcentral.
CCAAGCGACUGUUUACCAAAAACAUAGGUUUCUGCUAAGUCGCAAGACGAUGUAUAGGAGCUGACGCCUGCCCGGUGCUGGAAGGUUAAGGGGAUCUGUUAGAGCAAUCGAAGCAGUGAACUUAAGCCCCAGUAAACGGCGGCCGUAACUAUAACGGUCCUAAGGUAGCGAAAUUCCUUGUCGGGUAAGUUCCGACCCGCACGAAAGGCGUAACGAUUUGGGCACUGUCUCAACAACAGACUCGGUGAAAUUGUAAUUCCGGUGAAGAUGCCGGAUACCUGCGACAGGACGGAAAGACCCCAUGGAGCUUUACUGUAGCUUGACAUUGGGUCUUGGUACUACAUGUACAGGAUAGGUGGGAGGCUUUGAAACCAGGACGCCAGUUUUGGCGGAGCCAUCCUUGGGAUACCACCCUUGUAGUACUGGGACUCUAACCAUAGGCCAUGAAUCUGGUCUUGGGACACUGUCAGGUGGGCAGUUUGACUGGGGCGGUCGCCUCCCAAAAGGUAACGGAGGCGCUCAAAGGUUCUCUCAGUACGGUCGGAAAUCGUACGUAGAGUGUAAAGGCAAAAGAGAGCUUGAUUGCAAGACAUACAGGUCGAGCAAGGAUGAAAAUCGGACUUAGUGAUCCGGUGGUUCUGCGUGGAAGGGCCAUCGCUCAACGGAUAAAAGCUACCCUGGGGAUAACAGGCUUAUCUCCCCCAAGAGUCCACAUCGACGGGGAGGUUUGGCACCUCGAUGUCGGCUCAUCACAUCCUGGGGCUGUAGUAGGUCCCAAGGGUUGGGCUGUUCGCCCAUUAAAGUGGUACGCGAGCUGGGUUCAGAACGUCGUGAGACAGUUCGGUCCCUAUCCGUCGCAGGCGUAGGAAAUUUGAGAAGACCUGUCCUU